CGGAGGGGUGGCCGAGCGGUUGAAGGCGCACGCCUGGAAAGUGUGUAUACGGUGUUGAGCCGUAUCGAGGGUUCGAAUCCCUCUCCCUCCGCCAACCC
RNAcentral lists this transfer RNA (98 nucleotides) under Paramagnetospirillum magnetotacticum MS-1. RNAcentral describes it as "Magnetospirillum magnetotacticum MS-1 tRNA-Ser". It matches the Rfam family "tRNA". From Rfam's summary of the family: Transfer RNA (tRNA) molecules are approximately 80 nucleotides in length. Their secondary structure includes four short double-helical elements and three loops (D, anti-codon, and T loops). Lineage: Bacteria; Pseudomonadati; Pseudomonadota; Alphaproteobacteria; Rhodospirillales; Magnetospirillaceae. The record is from RNAcentral.